UCUCCGUUGGUGAACCAGCGGAGGGAUCAUUAUCGAGUUUAUAACUCCCAAACCCUAUGUGAACUUACCACUUGUUGCUUCGGCGCGCGCUCCGGCGCCGCCGAGGACACUUAAACUCUUUGUUUUUAUAAGCAUUUCUGAGUGGCCGAAAGGCAAAAUACAAAUGAAUCAAAACUUUCAACAACGGAUCUCUUGGUUCUG
Molecule: unclassified non-coding RNA, 201 nt
Filed under: plant metagenome
Description: partial contains small subunit ribosomal RNA, internal transcribed spacer 1, and 5.8S ribosomal RNA
Source: RNAcentral